UGGUGGGAUACCAACCUUGUUUUAUUGGAAUUCUAACGAGAAGCGUAACGAGCUUGCGGACAGUCUCAGGCGGGCAGUUUGACUGGGGCGGUCGCCUCCGAAAGAGUAACGGAGGCGCCCAAAGGUUCCCUCAGCGCGGACGGAAACCGCGCGAAGAGUGCAAAGGCAGAAGGGAGCUUGACUGCGAGACGGACAGGUCGAGCAGGGACGAAAGUCGGGCUUAGUGAUCCGGUGGUAGAGAGUGGAAUUGCCAUCGCUCAACGGAUAAAAGCUACCCUGGGGAUAACAGGCUUAUCUCUCCCAAGAGUCCAUAUCGACGGGGAGGUUUGGCACCUCGAUGUCGGCUCAUCACAUCCUGGGGCUGAAGUAGGUCCCAAGGGUUGGGCUGUUCGCCCAUUAAAGUGGUACGCGAGCUGGGUUCAGAACGUCGUGAGACAGUUCGGUCCCUAUCCAUCGCGGGCGUAAGAAACUUGAAAGGGGCUGCUCCUAGUACGAGAGGACCGGAGUGGACCGACCAAUGGUGUACCAGUCAUGGCGCCAGCCGUGCAGCUGGGUAGCUACGUCGGGGACGGAUAAACGCUGAAAGCAUCUAAGCGUGAAACCAGCCUAGAGAUGAGGUUUCUCAUUGUUUUAACAAGUAAGGUCCCACAAAGACGAUGUGGUUGAUAGGCCGGGAGUGGAAGUACAGCGAUGUACGGAGCGGACCGGUACUAAUAGACCGAGGACUUGACUUA
RNAcentral lists this ribosomal RNA (734 nucleotides) under Megasphaera elsdenii. Its description in RNAcentral is "partial 23S ribosomal RNA". It matches the Rfam family "Bacterial large subunit ribosomal RNA", at positions 2190 to 2925 of the family's 2925-position model. Lineage: Bacteria; Bacillati; Bacillota; Negativicutes; Veillonellales; Veillonellaceae. The record is from RNAcentral.